GUCGAACGAUGAUGCUCCAGCUUGCUGGGGUGGAUUAGUGGCGAACGGGUGAGUAAUACGUGAGUAACCUGCCCUUGACUCUGGGAUAAGCCUGGGAAACUGGGUCUAAUACUGGAUACUACACAGUCUCGCAUGGGGUUGUGUGGAAAGGGUUUUACUGGUUUUGGAUGGGCUCACGGCCUAUCAGCUUGUUGGUGGGGUAAUGGCCUACCAAGGCGACGACGGGUAGCCGGCCUGAGAGGGUGACCGGCCACACUGGGACUGAGACACGGCCCAGACUCCUACGGGAGGCAGCAGUGGGGAAUAUUGCACAAUGGGCGAAAGCCUGAUGCAGCGACGCCGCGUGAGGGAUGACGGCCUUCGGGUUGUAAACCUCUUUCAGCACGGAAGAAGCGAAAGUGACGGUACGUGCAGAAGAAGCGCCGGCUAACUACGUGCCAGCAGCCGCGGUAAUACGUAGGGCGCAAGCGUUGUCCGGAAUUAUUGGGCGUAAAGAGCUCGUAGGCGGUUUGUCGCGUCUGCUGUGAAAGCCCGGGGCUUAACCCCGUGGUGUGCAGUGGGUACGGGCAGACUAGAGUGCAGUAGGGGAGACUGGAAUUCCUGGUGUAGCGGUGAAAUGCGCAGAUAUCAGGAGGAACACCGAUGGCGAAGGCAGGUCUCUGGGCUGUUACUGACGCUGAGGAGCGAAAGCAUGGGGAGCGAACAGGAUUAGAUACCCUGGUAGUCCAUGCCGUAAACGUUGGGCACUA
RNAcentral lists this ribosomal RNA (749 nucleotides) under Kocuria sp. SK14. RNAcentral describes it as "bacterial SSU rRNA". It matches the Rfam family "Bacterial small subunit ribosomal RNA", at positions 61 to 818 of the family's 1533-position model. Lineage: Bacteria; Bacillati; Actinomycetota; Actinomycetes; Micrococcales; Micrococcaceae. The record is from RNAcentral.